Gadus morhua (Atlantic cod) is the source of this 667-nucleotide long non-coding RNA. RefSeq lists it as uncharacterized. NCBI's taxonomy places the organism in Eukaryota, Metazoa, Chordata, Actinopteri, Gadiformes, Gadidae. The record is from RefSeq and is a predicted model, not a curated record. The transcript is spliced from 2 exons.
GACUGGGCAUAGGGCAUGGCGGGCAUAUGCCCGGUGGCCUGAAGCCUUUUAUUUAUUUUUUUAUUCAUGCCAAACUCGCGUCUAACGUAGCAGGCCACGUUAACUUCAAUGCAGGCCACAUUAACGUCAAUUCAAGUUAAUGCAAGUUAAACUGGCAGAUCUGCCCUUUAUCAUGAUUGAUUGAAGCCUGGGCCAAUGAGGUGAGGGGCAGGCCAAUUUCGCCUACCCCUCCAUCUCAGCCUCCGUUGGUGACUUGGUUGGUUAGCCACUGCUAGCAGGCAGAUCGAAAACGGGCAAUAUGGACCCUAGUUGGAAGAAAAGAAAGGGUGGCGCUGAAAGAGCCAGGGACCAGAAAAAAGCAGCCCUUCAGGCAGAUGCUACGAAAUGCCUAAACAUAGCUGAUAUGUUUGCUGCUCGUGGACAUGGAGCCUCCACAUCUGCAGCAGCAGCAUCAACAGGUAGUGGAGGAGAAGAUGCUCGACAGCAGGUGGACGAGGCGGCCAUGACGGUUCCCAUGCUUAAGGAGUGCUGGGUGUUGCUGCUGAGAAGAGGCAGAUGGGGUAGCAUCAGCAUCUCUCCCACUUGUUGGAUUGUGUGUGUGUGUGUGUGUGUGUGUGUGUGUGUGUGUGUGUGUGUGUGUGUGUGUGUGUGUGUGUGUGUGUGUGUG